Molecule: ribosomal RNA, 417 nt
Filed under: uncultured bacterium
Lineage: Bacteria
Description: bacterial SSU rRNA
Rfam family: Bacterial small subunit ribosomal RNA
Source: RNAcentral
UUAACCGGAUUAGAUACCCUGGUAGUCCACGCCCUAAACGAUGUCUACUAGUUGUCGGGUCUUAAUUGACUUGGUAACGCAGCUAACGCGUGAAGUAGACCGCCUGGGGAGUACGGUCGCAAGAUUAAAACUCAAAGGAAUUGACGGGGACCCGCACAAGCGGUGGAUGAUGUGGAUUAAUUCGAUGCAACGCGAAAAACCUUACCUACCCUUGACAUGCCACUAACGAAGCAGAGAUGCAUUAGGUGCUCGAAAGAGAAAGUGGACACAGGUGCUGCAUGGCUGUCGUCAGCUCGUGUCGUGAGAUGUUGGGUUAAGUCCCGCAACGAGCGCAACCCUUGAUCUUAGUUGCCAGCAUUCAGUUGGGCACUCUAAGGUGACUGCCGGUGACAAACCGGAGGAAGGUGGGGAUGACGU